AUGCGGUGGGCUCAGGCCUGGGCUGGCAGGAGGAUCACGGAUGGGCCACGUGCUGAGCCCAUGCUGCCUUCAGCAUUUUCCAUAUUUUCAGGCCUGGUAAGUUGUAAAACCACUGAACAGAGAUUUCAGAGGGGAUUUCUGGCUGUUUUCCCUACAAGGGGACAAUCACCUUACCCCCGUUGUGUUCUGCCACCAGCUUUGAUCCCCCAAGCCUCGGCACCUCGUGCUCGGUGCACAUUAUCUGAGAACUUCUUUCGAGUGCUGGUAUGUUUUGAGGAUUGUGUGCCUAAAAAUAAUGGUAGCAAACCGUCAACAGGGGAAGGUCAAGGACUCAAACGGCCGAGAAGCUGUCCCCUUAGGGCAGCAUCUGAAUAUGGAAAACGUGUGUGGAGGAGGCAGGAGCUGGGGAAGAGCAGCCUCAUGCAGCGCCGUGGUGCUUGCCUCGGUUCCCUGCUUGUUUUUGGUCCGGUUCUGCGUGGGGAUGGGAUAAUUUGGGACCUUUUUCUCUGUUUUUCUCCAUGGCUAAUAAAACCGGGCUCCUCUUGGCUGAAGCCAGGGCUAGUGUCCAUCAAAAGCAGAGCCGCUGCCUGGGGAGAGGGGGUGGCCGUGCAGCCGUUUUGCCCUUUUUUUCCCCCCCCUGAAGCCCUCGUCCGAGGCUUCUCAGCGUACACAAUGCCAAGAACUGGCUCCAGCAGGUUUUGUUCGUGGCAGUACCCUCCGUUGGCAGCCCACACACAAGGUGCCCAGCAUGGCUGCCCCCCCCAUCGUGCCUUUUCACAUUCAUACCCACCAGGGGCAUCGUUCCUAUUGUUUGCCACGGCUCUUGGAAAAAUGAGUCAUGGGCAUUUUGCCUGCCCUCAGCGGGGAGACUCUGCCACAUUAGCAGCAGCAACGCCCGCCCCCCUGCUCCGCUGCCUCGCAUACCAGCAGGCCCCUUCGUGCGAGGAGCUGGGCUUUGCCUCCCUGCAGCCCCUUGCUGCUGCUGCUGCCUCUUGCCGGGGCCUCGCUCCCCGCACCCAAGGCUGGAAGGAGCUCGGCUCGAGGUGCUGCAGCCAGCUCCCUCGCCCCGUUCCUGCAGGGGGUCUUCUCCCUGCCUGGAGCUGGAAUAUUGAAGCCCGAGUUUCCUGCACUUGUUUUUGGGCUCUGCUCCUUCCUUGGCAGCUUAUCAGUGCAGAUAACGGUGGUUUGGGGCUCCUCCUGCAGCAGCGACGGAGAUCUCCCUGCCCAGCCUCGCUCAGGGUGGCGUUUCCCUGCAGGAUUUGGGGCAGGGGCAUGGUAAAACAAAACCUCCAGCUGCCACGGGGCUGGGGCAGUUUCUUUCACUCCCACACGAGCAUUUAUUGCUCACCCUCAGGGUGCCUGGGUCCUAUUCUGGAUUUUUCCUGUUCCACCCGAGAAGUGCUAAGGGCUCAGCUUUGCAGCAGGGCUCGCCUCCUUGCAAGGACUUCAAACGCAGAGCUUCAAAAGCAGGGCUGA
This 1476-nucleotide long non-coding RNA is filed under the name Anas platyrhynchos platyrhynchos (common mallard). RNAcentral describes it as "lncRNA (ENSAPLG00000023522.1)". The record is from RNAcentral. Lineage: Eukaryota; Metazoa; Chordata; Aves; Anseriformes; Anatidae.